UACGUAGGUGUCGAGCGUUGUCCGGAUUUAUUGGGCGUAAAGAGCCCGCAGGCGGCUUGGCAAGUUUGAGGUGAAAUCUCCCGGCUUAACUGGGAGGGGGCCUCGAAAACUGCCAGGCUUGAGGCAUGGAGAGGGAUGCGGAAUUCCCGGUGUAGUGGUGAAAUGCGUAGAUAUCGGGAGGAACACCAGUGGCGAAGGCGGCAUCCUGGUCCAGCACCGACGUUCAGGCACGAAAGCGUGGGGAGCAAACAGG
RNAcentral lists this ribosomal RNA (253 nucleotides) under uncultured bacterium. RNAcentral's name for it is "partial 16S ribosomal RNA". It matches the Rfam family "Bacterial small subunit ribosomal RNA", at positions 524 to 776 of the family's 1533-position model. The record is from RNAcentral.